Molecule: non-coding RNA, 346 nt
Organism: Pelobates cultripes (western spadefoot toad)
Lineage: Eukaryota; Metazoa; Chordata; Amphibia; Anura; Pelobatidae
Source: the annotation of a GenBank genome assembly
GGGCAAUCAAAUAGCAGAGUCAGGUCAGGCCAGGGGUCAGAGUCUAAUGAGACAACAGUUUGAGCACAGUACACAGGGGCAACACAAUUCAAUGGGCAAAUGUAAAACUCUAGGUAAACCUGCUUAGUCUGUUUUGAGAUUUUCAUGCAGUUCCUGACAGGCCACACACCCUGCUGGCCCUCCUACACUGCCUCUUAACUUGUAUAAUGUUUUGGAUUAGCUACCUCAUUGAACCACUGCCAUGCAGCAAAUCCAAAUGCAGGAACUAACUGUGCCCUAAUGCAAGUGCCAGGAUCUUUCUAGAUGCUUCCCUAGAUCCAGGUUGGGAGCAGGCCAUGGAGGACAG